AGAGGAAAAGGAAUAUUGGAGAGAUAAGAGGCGGUACAGAGGUUGGUGAAGGUCAAGAGUGAUCAAGAGUGUUUCCCGGAAACACUCUUGAUCACUCUUGACCUUUACCAACCUCUGUACUGCCUCUUAUCUCUCCAAUAUUCCUUUUGGGUAG
Pelobates cultripes (western spadefoot toad) is the source of this 154-nucleotide non-coding RNA. The record is from the annotation of a GenBank genome assembly. NCBI's taxonomy places the organism in Eukaryota, Metazoa, Chordata, Amphibia, Anura, Pelobatidae.